RNAcentral lists this ribosomal RNA (465 nucleotides) under Vreelandella stevensii. Its description in RNAcentral is "partial 16S ribosomal RNA". It matches the Rfam family "Bacterial small subunit ribosomal RNA", at positions 338 to 795 of the family's 1533-position model. The record is from RNAcentral. Lineage: Bacteria; Pseudomonadati; Pseudomonadota; Gammaproteobacteria; Oceanospirillales; Halomonadaceae.
CCUACGGGUGGCAGCAGUGGGGAAUAUUGGACAAUGGGGGGAACCCUGAUCCAGCCAUGCCGCGUGUGUGAAGAAGGCCCUCGGGUUGUAAAGCACUUUCAGUGAGGAAGAACGCCUGGUGGUUAAUACCCAUCAGGAAAGACAUCACUCACAGAAGAAGCACCGGCUAACUCCGUGCCAGCAGCCGCGGUAAUACGGAGGGUGCGAGCGUUAAUCGGAAUUACUGGGCGUAAAGCGCGCGUAGGUGGCUUGAUAAGCCGGUUGUGAAAGCCACGGGCUCAACCUGGGAACGGCAUCCGGAACUGUCAAGCUAGAGUGCAGGAGAGGAAGGUAGAAUUCCCGGUGUAGCGGUGAAAUGCGUAGAGAUCGGGAGGAAUACCAGUGGCGAAGGCGGCCUUCUGGACUGACACUGACACUGAGGUGCGAAAGCGUGGGUAGCAAACAGGAUUAGAUACCCCAGUAGUC